GAUGAACGCUGGCGGCGUGCUUAACACAUGCAAGUCGAACGGGAAACCUUUUAUUGAAGCUUCGGCAGAUUUAGCUGGUUUCUAGUGGCGGCCGGGUGAGUAACGCGUGGGUAACCUGCCUUAUACAGGGGGAUAACAACCAGAAAUGGUUGCUAAUACCGCAUAAGCGCACAGGACGGCAUGGUCCGGUGGGAAAAGGUCCGGUGGGAUGAGAUGGACGCGCGUUGGAUUAGCUAGUUGGCAGGGUAACGGCCUACCAAGGCGACGAUCCAUAGCAGGCCUGAGAGCGUGAACCGUCACAUUGGGGCUGAGACACGGCCCAGACUCCUACGGAAGGCAGCAGUGGGGAAUAUUGCACAAUGGGGGAAAACCUGAUGCAGCGACGCGGCGUAAAGGAAGAAGUAUCUCGGUAUGUAAACUUCUAUCAGCAGGGAAGAUAGUGACGGUACCUGACUAAGAAGCCCCGGCUAACUACGUG
Molecule: ribosomal RNA, 478 nt
Filed under: uncultured bacterium
Lineage: Bacteria
Description: partial 16S ribosomal RNA
Rfam family: Bacterial small subunit ribosomal RNA
Source: RNAcentral